This 592-nucleotide ribosomal RNA is filed under the name uncultured archaeon. RNAcentral describes it as "bacterial SSU rRNA". It matches the Rfam family "Archaeal small subunit ribosomal RNA", at positions 21 to 621 of the family's 1478-position model. The record is from RNAcentral.
AGGUCACUGCUAUCGGGGUUCGAUUAAGCCAUGCGUGUCGAGAGGGUUCGGCCCUCGGCGUACUGCUCAGUAACACGUGGAUAACCUGCCCUAGGGAAGGGGAUAACCCCGGGAAACUGGGGAUAAUACCCUAUAGAUUACAGAUGCUGGAAUGCCCUGUAAUCCAAAGUUCCGACGCCCUAGGAUGGAUCUGCGGCCGAUUAGGUUGUUGUUGGGGUAAUGGCCCAACAAGCCCGUAAUCGGUACGGGUUGUGGGAGCAAGAGCCCGGAGUUGGAUUCUGAGACACGAAUCCAGGCCCUACGGGGCGCAGCAGGCGCGAAAACUUUACAAUGCGGGCAACCGUGAUAAGGGAACCUCGAGUGCCUGUAAAUGCAGGCUGUUCAGGUGCCUAAAACACACCUGAAGAAAGGGCCGGGCAAGACCGGUGCCAGCCGCCGCGGUAAUACCGGCGGCUCGAGUGGUGGCCGCUUUUAUUGGGCUUAAAGCGUUCGUAGCUGGGUUGUUAAGUCUCUUGGGAAAUCUGGCGGCUUAACCGUCAGGCGUCUAAGGGAUACUGGCAAUCUUGGAACCGGGAGAGGUGAGGGGUACUUC